CGCAUCUGUGCAUGCAGCAUAUCAAUAAGCGGAGGAAAAGAAACUAACAAGGAUUCCCUUAGUAACGGCGAGUGAAGCGGGAAGAGCUCAAAUUUGAAAUCUUCAAGGUUUUACCUUGACGGAUUGUAGUUUAAAGAAGUGUUUUCUGCUGAAGUUUUGGUAAAAGUUCUUUGGAAUAGGACAUCAUAGAGGAUGAGAAUCCCGUAUUUGACCAUUAUUUUCAGCUUUGUGAUACACUUUCAAAGAGUCGGAUUGUUUGGGAAUGCAGUCCAAAAUGGGUGGUAAAUUUCAUCUAAAGCUAAAUAUUGGCGAGAGACCGAUAGCGAACAAGUACCGUGAGGGAAAGAUGAAAAGAACUUUGAAGAGAGAGUUAAACAGUACGUGAAAUUGUCAAAAGGGAAGCGUUUGACACCAGUGUUGCUUUUCUGAAAAUCAAUUAAAGAACUGUUUAUGCUAAGUUGUUUAGACUUUAUCAGCUAUCUGUUUAGUUUUGAGCUUUUCUUUAAUGCACUUUUCAGUUAACAAGUCAACAUCAAUUUCUUUUGCUGUAAAAAAGCUUGAGGAAGGUGGCUUGAGAUUCGUCUUAAGUGUUUAUAGCCUCUUGCCUAUGCAGUCGGAGAGAUUGAGGUCUGCAGCGUAGAUCCUUCGGGGCUAAAUGCAUUUGUGCUAAGUUAUAGCAUUUUAUAGACAACUUGUUGACUAUGAUUUGUCUUGUAGCUUACUCGCUUAUGCUAUUUUACCUACGCUUAGGAUGUUGAUAGUCACAGCGUGUAC
This 774-nucleotide ribosomal RNA is filed under the name uncultured Neocallimastigales. RNAcentral's name for it is "partial large subunit ribosomal RNA". It matches the Rfam family "Eukaryotic large subunit ribosomal RNA", at positions 26 to 643 of the family's 3401-position model. The record is from RNAcentral. Lineage: Eukaryota; Fungi; Neocallimastigomycota; Neocallimastigomycetes; Neocallimastigales.